CCUCAGAUGAGUUAUAAAAAUAUCAGUGGAAAGUUGUGUUAAUUGCGGUCAUUUAUAAACUACAAUGAUGCUGAAAGGCUUACGUAUGAAGAGAACUAGAAAAUGGUAUCUACUCUCUUAAGUUCUUCAUAUUUGGUUGAGAACUAGAAAAAAGUUAUCUCAAUUAGAAAUAUUGUCUAAAUAAUGUUGAUAAGAUUUUGAUUGUUCUGAUUUUACAAAAAAA
RNAcentral lists this small RNA (223 nucleotides) under Vigna angularis var. angularis. RNAcentral describes it as "Non-protein coding transcript". Lineage: Eukaryota; Viridiplantae; Streptophyta; Magnoliopsida; Fabales; Fabaceae. The record is from RNAcentral.